RNAcentral lists this non-coding RNA (341 nucleotides) under Neomoorella glycerini. RNAcentral's name for it is "Moorella glycerini T-box sequence". It matches the Rfam family "T-box leader". Rfam says of the family: Uncharged tRNA acts as the effector for transcription antitermination of genes in the T-box leader family. T-boxes are found upstream of many aminoacyl-tRNA synthetase genes and some amino acid biosynthetic genes usually in Gram-positive bacteria. The anticodon of a specific tRNA base pairs to a specifier sequence within the T-box motif, and the NCCA acceptor tail of the tRNA base pairs to a conserved bulge in the T-box antiterminator hairpin. Lineage: Bacteria; Bacillati; Bacillota; Clostridia; Neomoorellales; Neomoorellaceae. The record is from RNAcentral.
AUAAAUCCCAUGAUGGGGAAAAGUAGGCUUUAGCGGCCUGCCCAGCGAGCCGGUGCUGGUGGGAGACCGGCCGGGAAGCUAGAGCUGAAGUUCUCCCCGGAGGAGCAGGCUGAAGGCCGGUAACAACCGGCUGGGUAGGCCGGGCCGGAGCUCCCGCCGUUAAAAGGGAGGGGGUAUCGGAAAGGAUGCUGCCGGGGGGCUUUCUCUCGCGCCUUUUUUCGCUGCGGCGCCAGGGGGAGCAGGAAAAAGGCGCAUGCUUCUUUUCCCGUACCCUGUAAUGAGCGGGCUGCUUGCCGCAGCCAAGUAGGGUGGUACCGCGGGUAUAACUCCUCGUCCCUGGG